Molecule: microRNA precursor, 94 nt
Filed under: Pelobates cultripes (western spadefoot toad)
Lineage: Eukaryota; Metazoa; Chordata; Amphibia; Anura; Pelobatidae
Source: RNAcentral
UCAACGUUUCAGUCCUAUAAGGACUUUCUUCAGGAUCAAAAGUAAAACUUUUUACUUUUGAUCCUGAAGAAAGUCCUUAUAGGACUGAAACUUU